Long non-coding RNA from Hyla sarda, 462 nucleotides. RefSeq lists it as uncharacterized. Lineage: Eukaryota; Metazoa; Chordata; Amphibia; Anura; Hylidae. The transcript has 3 exons. The record is from RefSeq and is a predicted model, not a curated record.
CAGAAAUAAGGCAUCAAAUACAGGGUGAUUGAAAAAGGACGGAGCAAAAUGACAGCCUCGGAAUACAGCGCAAAUUUAUCAACAUGAAAAAAGGCAUCUAUCUAGGUGAACUCCAGCACUUACAGCUUAAUUAGAUGACCAGGUGCAGUGAUCAAACACAACACCCAAAGGAAGAGGAUUCAUGGGAAAUGUUAGGCUGCAGUACAGAAUGACUGCAAACCAACAUGGAACUGCAAACCAACAUGGAGCCAAUACCCUGCCUGCUACAUCAGCUAAAACAGGGCUGUUGCUGGGCAGAUGUUAGCUGACUGCGGAUUGGCUGCGAGUCUGGAAGCGGGAAUCUUGGAAGGUAUAUAUGACCAGGCAUCGCUGUUGCUCGGGUCAGUCCGGCGAACCUGCGAAGAAAGAAGAUUCGAGCUCAACCACCCCCCCUCCCCUUGUCACGGCCGUUGUUGAUGGAUG